RNAcentral lists this ribosomal RNA (563 nucleotides) under uncultured Alphaproteobacteria bacterium. RNAcentral's name for it is "bacterial SSU rRNA". It matches the Rfam family "Bacterial small subunit ribosomal RNA", at positions 953 to 1532 of the family's 1533-position model. The record is from RNAcentral. Lineage: Bacteria; Pseudomonadati; Pseudomonadota; Alphaproteobacteria.
GAAGCAACACGCAGAACCUUACCAACGCCUUGACAUCCUAGGACCGGCCCAGAGAUGGGUCUUUUCACUUCGGUGACCUAGUGACAGGUGCUGCAUGGCUGUCGUCAGCUCGUGUCGUGAGAUGUUCGGUUAAGUCCGGCAACGAGCGCAACCCACAUCCUUAGUUGCCAGCAGUUCGGCUGGGCACUCUAGGGAAACUGCCCGUGAUAAGCGGGAGGAAGGUGUGGAUGACGUCAAGUCCUCAUGGCCCUUACGGGUUGGGCUACACACGUGCUACAAUGGCAGUGACAAUGGGUUAAUCCCAAAAAACUGUCUCAGUUCGGAUUGGGGUCUGCAACUCGACCCCAUGAAGUCGGAAUCGCUAGUAAUCGCGUAACAGCAUGACGCGGUGAAUACGUUCCCGGGCCUUGUACACACCGCCCGUCACACCAUGGGAGUUGGUUCUACCCGACGGCCGUGCGCCAACCUUUCGAGGAGGCAGCGGACCACGGUAGGAUCAGCGAUCUGGGGUGAAGUCGUAACAAGGUAGCCGUAGGGGAACCCUGCGGCUGGAUCACCUCCUU